ACCUGGCUGGCUCAGUUGGUGGAGUGAGUGGAAGACUCUUGAUCUUAGGAUGUGGGUUCAAGCCUCAUGUUGGGUG
This 76-nucleotide transfer RNA is filed under the name Canis lupus familiaris (dog). It matches the Rfam family "tRNA". Rfam says of the family: Transfer RNA (tRNA) molecules are approximately 80 nucleotides in length. RNAcentral also lists the same sequence under 1 other name. Lineage: Eukaryota; Metazoa; Chordata; Mammalia; Carnivora; Canidae. The record is from Rfam by way of RNAcentral.